RNAcentral lists this ribosomal RNA (488 nucleotides) under uncultured bacterium. Its description in RNAcentral is "partial 16S ribosomal RNA". It matches the Rfam family "Bacterial small subunit ribosomal RNA", at positions 28 to 507 of the family's 1533-position model. The record is from RNAcentral.
GAUGAACGCUGGCGGCGUGCUUAACACAUGCAAGUCGAACGGAAAGGCCCUGCUUUUGUGGGGUGCUCGAGUGGCGAACGGGUGAGUAACACGUGAGUAACCUGCCCUUGACUUUGGGAUAACUUCAGGAAACUGGGGCGAAUACCGGAUAGGAGCUCCUGCUGCAUGGUGGGGGUUGGAAAGUUUCGGCGGUUGGGGAUGGACUUGCGGCGUUUCAGCUGGUUGGUGGGGUAGUGGCUUAGCAAGGCUUCGACGGGUAGCCGGCAUGAGAGGGUGGACGGCCACCCUGGAAGGGGGACACGGUCCAGACUCCUACGGGAGGCAGCAGUAGGGCAUGGUCCGGAAUGGGGGGAAGCCUGACGGAGCAGCGCCGCGUGAGUGAUGAAGGUCUCCGGGUCGGAAAAGUCUGCUAUUAGGGAAGAACAAAUGUGUAGGUAAAUAUGCGCGUCAUGACGGUAACUAAUCAGAAAGCCACGGCUAACUACGUG